AAAAACCUGUAGAACUCUGAUCUACAUCUUCUGACUGCAAUCCAGACACUUUUAUUAAGCUAAGGCCUU
This 69-nucleotide transfer RNA is filed under the name Anniella pulchra. Its description in RNAcentral is "tRNA-Ala". Lineage: Eukaryota; Metazoa; Chordata; Lepidosauria; Squamata; Anniellidae. The record is from RNAcentral.